UCAGAUGCGAAAGCGUGGGUAGCAAACAGGAUUAGAUACCCUGGUAGCCCACGCCGUAAACGCUGUCUACUUGGAGGUUGAGGUUUUAGAUUUUGGCUUUCGGCGCUAACGCAUUAAGUAGACCGCCUGGGGAGUACGGCCGCAAGGUUAAAACUCAAAUGAAUUGACGGGGGCCCACACAAGCGGUAGAGCAUGUGGUUUAAUUCGAUGCAACGCGAAGAACCUUACCUACUCUUGACAUCCAGCGAAGCCUUUAGAGAUAGAGGUGUGCCUUCGGGAGCGCUGAGACAGGUGCUGCAUGGCUGUCGUCAGCUCGUGUUGUGAAAUGUUGGGUUAAGUCCCGCAACGAGCGCAACCCUUAUCCUUGUUUGCCAGCACAUAAUGGUGGGAACUCCAGGGAGACUGCCGGUGAUAAACCGGAGGAAGGUGGGGACGACGUCAAGUCAUCAUGGCCCUUACGAGUAGGGCUACACACGUGCUACAAUGGCAGAUACAGAGGGCAGCGAGACAGCGAUGUUUAGCGAAUCCCUUAAAGUUUGUCGUAGUCCGGAUUGGAGUCUGCAACUCGACUCCAUGAAGUCGGAAUCGCUAGUAAUCGUGGAUCAGAAUGCCACGGUGAAUACGUUCCCGGGCCUUGUACACACCGCCC
RNAcentral lists this ribosomal RNA (649 nucleotides) under uncultured bacterium. Its description in RNAcentral is "bacterial SSU rRNA". It matches the Rfam family "Bacterial small subunit ribosomal RNA", at positions 747 to 1395 of the family's 1533-position model. The record is from RNAcentral.